GACGAACGCUGGCGGCGUGCUUAACACAUGCAAGUCGAGCGGUAAGGCCCUUUCGGGGGUACACGAGCGGCGAACGGGUGAGUAACACGUGGGUGACCUGCCCUCAGCUCUGGGAUAAGCCUGGGAAACUGGGUCUAAUACUGGAUAUGACUCCACGGUGCAUGUCGUGGGGUGGAAAGCCUUGUGCGGCUGAGGAUGGGCCCGCGGCCUAUCAGCUUGUUGGUGGGGUGANGGCCUACCAAGGCGACGACGGGUAGCCGGCCUGAGAGGGCGACCGGCCACACUGGGACUGAGAUACGGCCCAGGCUCCUACGGGAGGCAGCAGUGGGGAAUCUUGCGCAAUGGGCGAAAGCCUGACGCAGCGACGCCGCGUGAGGGAUGACGGCCU
RNAcentral lists this ribosomal RNA (388 nucleotides) under uncultured bacterium. RNAcentral describes it as "bacterial SSU rRNA". It matches the Rfam family "Bacterial small subunit ribosomal RNA", at positions 28 to 417 of the family's 1533-position model. The record is from RNAcentral.